GCUUAACACAUGCAAGUCGAGCGGGCACUUUCGGGUGUCAGCGGCAGACGGGUGAGUAACACGUGGGAACGUACCCUUUGGUUCGGAACAACUCCGGGAAACUGGAGCUAAUACCGGAUAAGCCCUUCGGGGGAAAGAUUUAUCGCCAAAGGAUCGGCCCGCGUCUGAUUAGCUAGUUGGUGGGGUAAAAGCCCACCAAGGCGACGAUCCGUAGCUGGUCUGAGAGGACGACCAGCCACACUGGAACUGAGACACGGUCCAGACUCCUACGGGAGGCAGCAGUGGGGAAUAUUGGACAAUGGGCGAAAGCCUGAUCCAGCAAUGCCGCGUGAGUGAUGAAGGCCUUAGGGUUGUAAAGCUCUUUUACCCGGGAUGAUAAUGACAGUACCGGGAGAAUAAGCUCCGGCUAACUCCGUGCCAGCAGCCGCGGUAAUAC
This 436-nucleotide ribosomal RNA is filed under the name uncultured Alphaproteobacteria bacterium. Its description in RNAcentral is "bacterial SSU rRNA". It matches the Rfam family "Bacterial small subunit ribosomal RNA", at positions 46 to 526 of the family's 1533-position model. The record is from RNAcentral. Lineage: Bacteria; Pseudomonadati; Pseudomonadota; Alphaproteobacteria.